GAGGGAGCCUGAGAAACGGCUACCACAUCUAAGGAAGGCAGCAGGCGCGCAAAUUACCCAAUCCUAAUACAGGGAGGUAGUGACAAGAAAUAACAAUACAGGACUUUUUGGUUUUGUAAUUGGAAUGAGUUAAGUAUAAACCCCUUUACAAGUAUCAAUUGGAGGGCAAGUCUGGUGCCAGCAGCCGCGGUAAUUCCAGCUCCAAUAGCGUAUAUUAAAGUUGUUGCAGUUAAAAAGCUCGUAGUUGGAUUUCUGUUAAUAAUUUAUAUAAAAUAUUUUGAUGAAUAUUUAUAUAAUAUUAACAUAAUUCAUAUUACUAUAUAUUUUAGUAUAUGAAAUUUUACUUUGAGAAAAUUAGAGUGCUUAAAGCAGGCAUAUGCCUUGAAUACUCCAGCAUGGAAUAAUAUUAAAGAUUUUUAUCUUUCUUAUUGGUUCUAAGAUAAGAAUAAUGAUUAAUAGGGACAGUUGGGGGCAU
RNAcentral lists this ribosomal RNA (475 nucleotides) under Cryptosporidium parvum. RNAcentral describes it as "SSU rRNA". It matches the Rfam family "Eukaryotic small subunit ribosomal RNA", at positions 388 to 891 of the family's 1831-position model. Lineage: Eukaryota; Apicomplexa; Conoidasida; Eucoccidiorida; Cryptosporidiidae. The record is from RNAcentral.